CCUUGUACACACCGCCCGUCACAUCACGAAAGUGGGCUGUACUAGAAGUCCCCAUCCCAACCGCAAGGAGGGUAGGGCCCAAGGUAUGGCCCAUGAUUGGGGUG
Molecule: ribosomal RNA, 104 nt
Filed under: uncultured bacterium
Lineage: Bacteria
Description: partial 16S ribosomal RNA
Rfam family: Bacterial small subunit ribosomal RNA
Source: RNAcentral